This 486-nucleotide ribosomal RNA is filed under the name uncultured bacterium. RNAcentral's name for it is "partial 16S ribosomal RNA". It matches the Rfam family "Bacterial small subunit ribosomal RNA", at positions 30 to 507 of the family's 1533-position model. The record is from RNAcentral.
AUUGAACGCUGGCGGCAUGCCUUACACAUGCCAGUCGAACGGCAGCACGGGUGCUUGCACCUGGUGGCGAGUGGCGAACGGGUGAGUAAUACAUCGGAACAUGUCCUGUAGUGGGGGAUAGCCCGGCGAAAGCCGGAUUAAUACCGCAUACGAUCUACGGAUGAAAGCGGGGGACCUUCGGGCCUCGCGCUAUCGGGUUGGCCGAUGGCUGAUUAGCUAGUUGGUGGGGUAAAGGCCUACCAAGGCGACGAUCAGUAGCUGGUCUGAGAGGACGACCAGCCACACUGGGACUGAGACACGGCCCAGACUCCUACGGGAGGCAGCAGUGGGGAAUUUUGGACAAUGGGCGAAAGCCUGAUCCAGCAAUGCCGCGUGUGUGAAGAAGGCCUUCGGGUUGUAAAGCACUUUUGUCCGGAAAGAAAUCCUUGGCCCUAAUACGGUCGGGGGAUGACGGUACCGGAAGAAUAAGCACCGGCUAACUACGUG